GAUGAACGCUGGCGGCGUGCCUAAUACAUGCAAGUCGAGCGAACGGACGAGAAGCUUGCUUCUCUGAUGUUAGCGGCGGACGGGUGAGUAACACGUGGAUAACCUACCUAUAAGACUGGGAUAACUUCGGGAAACCGGAGCUAAUACCGGAUAAUAUUUUGAACCGCAUGGUUCAAAAGUAAAAGACGGUCUUGCUGUCACUUAUAGAUGGAUCCGCGCUGCAUUAGCUAGUUGGUAAGGUAACGGCUUACCAAGGCAACGAUGCAUAGCCGACCUGAGAGGGUGAUCGGCCACACUGGAACUGAGACACGGUCCAGACUACUACGGGAGGCAGCAGUAGGGAAUCUUCCGCAAUGGGCGAAAGCCUGACGGAGCAACGCCGCGUGAGUGAUGAAGGUCUUCGGAUCGUAAAACUCUGUUAUUAGGGAAGAACAUAUAUGUAAGUAACUGUGCACAUCUUGACGGUACCUAAUCAGAAAGCCACGGCUAACUACGUG
RNAcentral lists this ribosomal RNA (497 nucleotides) under uncultured bacterium. RNAcentral's name for it is "partial 16S ribosomal RNA". It matches the Rfam family "Bacterial small subunit ribosomal RNA", at positions 28 to 507 of the family's 1533-position model. The record is from RNAcentral.